Molecule: long non-coding RNA, 1109 nt
Filed under: Marmota monax (woodchuck)
Lineage: Eukaryota; Metazoa; Chordata; Mammalia; Rodentia; Sciuridae
Source: RNAcentral
GUUUCCAAACAGCUUUCAAGUUUCUGGCUUGAGCCACUGGGGCGGGGGAUGAAGGGGGUGUUUGUUGGGACAGGCUUCUUUCCCCAGGAAGCCUGGAGACCUGCCCACCACCAUCUCUGAGCAAAACCGACUUCCAAGUCUCAAACCACAGAUCCAGCAACAAACUUUUGAAAUGAGACCCAUAUACAAAUUGCAAAUAGCCUUUGCUUUUCUCAUUUUAUUAAUAGCAGGUAUUUUCCAACCAAGUUGGCUCCCGAUAACCACGCCUGGGUCUCAGAUAUCCACACACUCGAGAAGCAAAACAAAAUAAGGGGGAAAAAUACCUCCCUCCCAGCUCUGCUUUGUUUUGUUUUGUUCCUAGUUCUUGCUGACUAAAACUAAACGCUGCCAUAUGUUCAGAAAAUGUCCGACGUUUGCAUGUUUGGGGUUUCUUUUUUUUUUUUAGUCAGUGAGUUUUAUCUGGGCGAGUCACAGAGCCCUCAGCUAAGUCACCCUGUAAUCUGCACUUCUUGAAUAACUGUGUAUUUGAGCAAUUGCAGUCAUUGCUAAGGGCUGCUGUGUAGACAAGAGGUUUGGGGGCUUUUUCCAAAUUGUUUUUUCUGGAAUGCUGGGAAAGUGACUACGUGAGUUGACUCAUGGGACCCAGUGUCUUUUGGAAACUGUAACUUUCCUUCCAGAAUAAUUAAAGAUGAGAAAGGAAGCCACUGGUAAGCAAUGUGAAUCCCAGCACCCAAAGCCUGGGUGCAUCUUCUGAAAUGAUCUGGUUGGUUGGUUUUUUAAUUGAAAAACUUGGGAAGAGCUAAAUCUGCAUGGAGCCUACUCAGGCACUUAGGACUCUGCACUGUGUCACUUACUAUUUAUAGUGUCUUGCUGGGUUGGUGCGUUAUCACAAAGUCACUACAGCUGGUUAAUACUGCUCCCCAUUUUUCACUUGUGACCGCCGACUGGUAGCUGUGGCCAUCUACCAAAUCUGCCAUCAACCAAGCUAUUGGAACUGGAAACCUCGGGGUCAACCUCGAGAUCUCACUGUCUACAUGCCACCUGUCCCUCCUGCCUGGGCCACCAUCUAUUCCUCCCCCCUUCUCAGCACCUUCCAUAUUAAUCCUGUC